Molecule: non-coding RNA, 87 nt
Organism: Pseudomonas fluorescens ABAC62
Lineage: Bacteria; Pseudomonadati; Pseudomonadota; Gammaproteobacteria; Pseudomonadales; Pseudomonadaceae
Source: Rfam
CUCUAUGGCGGCUGUGUGCGGGCAGACUUCGGUCUGGCCGGAGUCCUACUGUCCGGUAUUCUCACCCUGCACAUAGCUGCCACCCUU